UGGCUCACGCAUCGAUGAAGAACGCAGCGAAAUGCGAUAAGUAAUGUGAAUUGCAGAUUUCAGUGAAUCAUCGAAUCUUUGAACGCACCUUGCACCUUCUGGUAUUCCGGAAGGUACAUCUGUUUGAGUGUCAUUAAUCAAUCAACUGCUCCAUUCUUUUUAAGAGUGUGUUUAGUUGGAUGUGAAGGCUGCAGGCUGCAAGGCCAGCUCCUUUGAAAUGCAUUAGCUGGGAACUAGUACAUGGUUUCAAGUGCUUUGAUGCCUGAAGACCUCCUGGUGAGAUAAUUGUCUACGCCGUUGGUUUAGUCAUUGCACAUAUUUGGACUAUGGAAUGGGCCUGCUUCUAACUGUCUCAUUGCGAGACUAGUCCGCUACAGGGCUACUAUUGACCAGUGUGACCUCAAAUCAGAUGGGACUACCCGCUGA
RNAcentral lists this unclassified non-coding RNA (426 nucleotides) under uncultured fungus. RNAcentral describes it as "partial contains 5.8S ribosomal RNA and internal transcribed spacer 2". The stretch from base 1 to 133 matches the Rfam family "5.8S ribosomal RNA", at positions 22 to 154 of the family's 154-position model. The record is from RNAcentral. Lineage: Eukaryota; Fungi.